GAACCAACUCCCACAGCUGCCCUGCUCGCGUCUCCAACCCUCCAAACUCGCCGAAAAACUCAGCAAACCCGCGAGUUCACUCAUGGUCCCCUCUCCACUCUUCUCCUUCUUCCACGUAGCAAAAUCCCAACAAAUCUCAUCAUUAAGUAUUUUGUUGAGCACCUCAGAAGUAUUUAUUUGUUUUCUUUCACGUUUUUGGAAUCGUC
This 206-nucleotide long non-coding RNA is filed under the name Nicotiana benthamiana. Its description in RNAcentral is "long non-coding RNA (NBEN_LNC011115)". Lineage: Eukaryota; Viridiplantae; Streptophyta; Magnoliopsida; Solanales; Solanaceae. The record is from RNAcentral.